RNAcentral lists this long non-coding RNA (1816 nucleotides) under Cyanistes caeruleus (blue tit). RNAcentral's name for it is "lncRNA (ENSCCEG00000015738.1)". Lineage: Eukaryota; Metazoa; Chordata; Aves; Passeriformes; Paridae. The record is from RNAcentral.
UGAUCUUUUGUUUGUAGGCUGACUUCAUCCUUAAAGAAACAAAUUAGGUGUGUCAGCAAUCACAUACUGAAGUUCCAUCAGUAGAUGGCAUCUGGUAUCCCAGAGCAGCAUGCUUAGUCUUAACAUACUCUUUUGAUACUCAGACAGAGGCACACUCUAGAUCAGCUAUUCUGUUAGAAUCAGCUUUUCACCUGCUACAAUGACAGCUUGAUCCUGAAAUGAGAUCAGCCUGCAAUGAAGUUACUGGGAUCUUCUGUAACAGGCACUGGGAUUAAGUGGUCAUUUCCUUGGGAGGACUCUGACUGCUGCUGCUGCACUCCCUGUUCCCAUCCUGACAUCUGGAGAGCUUCAAGUACGACUGGCACAGACACUCCUAAGAUCAAGGUCAGACUGUCUGCAGCAUGAAUGACAGAGAGUAUUAAUUUGCCCACAGAUGUGGCAGCACAGAUGAAUAAUCUCCCUGCACUUUAACCAUACAUCUGGCCAUUCAAAAGACUUAAUUAAUUGCAGCACAGAAAUUCCUGCAUCAAGUGGCCCUCUCAGAGGCCUGCAAGGGACAGUCCAACACUGUGUAUUGCCUCUGUGCUGUAUGCCUUCACCAGGGCAUAAAUUAAAAUUCACCAGUUAUAAAUUAAAGUUUUCCAGGUUCACUUCUUUCAGGCUCAUGCCAGAAAGAGAUAGUUUUGUUUAAAUAGAAGUAAAUAGUUCAGUCCAUUUUAAUUUUUACUGCUCCUAACAUUAGUUUCUGCUGGCUGGUGGCUAAAGCCUGGUGUAUUCUGAGGUCUUUUUGCAGAACCUGACAUUAAAAAUAGAAUUAAUAGUUUUGGAAAAAGUCACUGUUGGCAGACUGGUUCUGUUCAAGUUGGAAAAUAUUUUACCUAUUGAUUUCAAUGAAAAAUGUUAGGUCCAUAGUGGGAGUUCUUCAAAAUCUACUUCUGACUAUAUUAGAAACAUUUCUAAAAGCUUAUCCACCAAUUUAGCUUUUAUAAUAGCAUGUCACACCGAGACUUUCACCUUUUGACAGAGUUCCCAUAUACUCACCUGGACAGAUCUAGACAACAAGCUCAAAAAUGACCUCUUAAAUAUUUUCCUUAAGUACUAAUAAGCAGAUUUGGAUGUCAGACUAUACUGAUACUCACUAUUUACCUUUACUAAAACUUUGCAAAAGAAACACUGAUGUAAAAGUAAGUUUAAUGAAAUUAUUGGGCAUUUGAUGGAAAUGAAACUUUAAAAAGAUAAAGUCUGUCUUACAAACUAUCAAAUAUAGACUGAGAUAUCUUCAAGCCUGGCCAGCCUUCUUUAAGAAUUUCUGCAUUUCUGUUGCUGAAAGUACUGACAAUGAAAUAUUUGCUGUCAGACUGUAGAACAAGUAAUUGUUGACAUGAUUUGGAAUGGAUUUUGCUUGAGAGUAAUGAUACAGGAGCCAUCUGGUAUUUUCAAUUAUUGCAUACAGGCAUAUUUGUGUGAAUAAUCUUUUUUCUUAUACCUUUUCAGAUUAAUACUGUUACUGUUACAUUUUCUUAUCCCAUUGCUGUUUCCAGUAAAUUGUUCUUAUCUCAGCCUGUGACCUUUGCCUUUUGUGCCUCCAUUUGGAGUGGGGAAGGGAAUGGCUGAUGAUCUGGGGAGUCUCCAGGAGGGCUCUGAGCUGGGGAGUGCCCAUUCCUAAAGCUCCCCAGCCACACCCAGCCCCACAGAGCUGCUCCUCACUCCCCAUCCAGUGGGCUUGGGAAGAGAAUGGGAAGAGUGAAAGGUAGAAAAUUCACCUGAGGCUGAGAUAAGAACAGUUUAAUAGGGAAAAUAAAAGCCACACACACAG